RNAcentral lists this ribosomal RNA (849 nucleotides) under uncultured archaeon. RNAcentral's name for it is "bacterial SSU rRNA". It matches the Rfam family "Archaeal small subunit ribosomal RNA", at positions 29 to 882 of the family's 1478-position model. The record is from RNAcentral.
GCUAUUGGAGUCCGAUUAAGACAUGCGAGUCGAGAGCUUUCGGAGCUCGGCAUACUGCUCAGUAACACGUGGGUAACCUGCCCUAUGCUGGGGGAUAACCUCGGGAAACUGAGAACAAUACCCCAUAGUCCACUACGCCUGGAACGGUGAGUGGAUGAAAGCCCCGGCGGCAUAGGAUGGGCCUGCGGCGUAUCAGGUUGUAGGGGGUGUAAUGUACCCUCUAGCCCUCGACGCGUACGGGUUGUGAGAGCAAUAGCCCGGAGAUGGAUUCUGAGACAAGAAUCCAGGUCCUACGGGACGCAKCAGUCGCGAAACCUUGACAAUGCGGGAAACCGUGAUCAGGGGACUCCAAGUGCCAGGAGUAAGAUCCUGUGCUUUUCAUAUCUCUUCAAAGGAUUUGGAAUAAGAGGUGGGUAAGGACGGUGCCAGCCGCCGCGGUAAUACCGGCGCCUCAAGUGGUAGUCGAUUUUAUUGGGCCUAAAACGUCCGUCGCCGGUCUGGUGCAUUCGUGGGUAAAUCAACCCGCUCAACGGGUUGAAUUCUGCGAGCACGGCCAGACUAGGGACCGGGAGAGGUGUAGGGUACGCUCGGGGUAGGGGUAAAAUCCUGUCAUCCCGAGCGGACCACCUGUUGCGAAGGCGCUACACUAGAACGGACCCGACGGUCAGGGACGAAGCCUAGGGGCACGAACCGGAUUAGAUACCCGGGUAGUCCUAGGUGUAAACGCUGUGGACUUGGUGUUGGAAGCUCCCAGAGGGCUUUCAGUGCCGUAGCGAAGGUGAUAAGUCCACUGCCUGGGGAGUACGGUCGCAAGGCUGAAACUUAAAGGAAUUGGCGGGGGAACACCGC